GACGUAGGAUGCAAGCGUUGUCCGGAAUCAUUGGGCGUAAAGCGUUCGUAGGCGGCAUGUCAAGUCUGAUGUUAAAGCCCGGAGCUCAACUCCGGUUCGGCAUUGGAUACUGGCAAGCUAGAGUGCAAUAGAGGUAAGGGGAAUUCCUAGUGUAGCGGUGAAAUGCGUAGAUAUUAGGAGGAACACCGGUGGCGAAAGCGCCUUACUGGGUUGUAACUGACGCUGAGGAACGAAAGCCAGGGUAGCAAAUGGG
Molecule: ribosomal RNA, 253 nt
Filed under: uncultured bacterium
Lineage: Bacteria
Description: partial 16S ribosomal RNA
Rfam family: Bacterial small subunit ribosomal RNA
Source: RNAcentral